GUUCAAAUGUUUCACCGUUGUUGACUACAACAUGUACAUAUAGCAUUGUCAGAGAAUGAUUCCUGACUUCUGGUUCUAGUGCAAUAUUCGGUGAAAAUUUGUCAAGAACGAAGAAACAAACUUAUUCCAUUUUCCAUGCAGAUACAAUUCUCAGCAUCUUAUCCGAUGGUCAGGAAAACAAACAAAUGCGAACAGAUAUCCAUCCGACUGACUGGGUGAUCCAAUUUGGACAUCCCUUACCAUUGAUGGGGCAGCAGUUGGACCCAGCACCCAGUCUAUUUCGAUUCCGUUCAUUGUACACGCCAAGCCGUACGAAACGUUCGCACCGCAGAGCGGGCUUUAUCAUCCCUUCGAACAGCUUUGGUGUCCGGCGCUGAGCAAAAUCCAUGAACAUGUAUACGUACAUAUAAAAUCUGAAUAUAAAAAAAACACACACACACACAACAAAGCAUAAAAAAAUCACAAAACCUACACAAUUGUUCAAGCGAACAGGACGACCUGGACAAGCGGCUGAUAUGCGCCAUAGAAUUUUGUGUUGAUAUUUUAUACGCAUGAAUAAUUUUAAUCAAAAAAUAUCCCAUUUUGUCCGUUGGCUGGAAAAUUUUAACAAAUAACAAAGGAGCACCGCUAGAAUGAGGGAAGAGAAGUUAUGAUAAAAACGAAGCUGCUAUUGUAGCGUGGUACUGUGGGGUACCGCACCGGAGCGGCUACCGGCGAACAGGAUGUUGGAGGUGUUUGAGCACGAUCUGGUUGCAUUGUUUCCGAAACCGUGAGCUUAGUCAAGGCAGGGUUAGCGAAAUUGAAAAACGCACCAAAAUAUAUACGAAGUAUGCUUCCAGUGGAAAGGAAUGAAACGGAAGAAGGCAUUCAAUAGAAACACUGGUUUAUAUCUCUUACAUUCCAUAUUACCUAGACCCGGAUGAAGCAAAAUCAAAUGAACGCGAGUUUGAGAGUAUUUAUUUUUUCAUAAACCUUUAAAUCCUCAGAAGAAAUUUGGCGUUGUUAGCUGCUGAAUAUUCAUCAUACUAAGUGAAAGCUUUCACAUUUUUGGCCAAAUGGAAAUAGGUAGACAUUUUUUUGUUUGUAUACUCUACGAUUUGGGACGAGACGAUCUCUCCGUAAUGGCAAACAAGGCUCUUCUGCCAUUAAGGUAAUGAGUAUUAUGAUGACAGCAAAAGCAUCCAUUAUAGGUGCAAACAUGUUUGUUGGUCGUCUUCUUUGGAUCAGAAUCAUUACAUAGAUGAUAUAAAAG
Anopheles merus is the source of this 1252-nucleotide long non-coding RNA. RefSeq lists it as uncharacterized. The record is from RefSeq and is a predicted model, not a curated record. Lineage: Eukaryota; Metazoa; Arthropoda; Insecta; Diptera; Culicidae. The transcript is spliced from 4 exons.